UUUAACUGAAGAGUUUGAUCAUGGCUCAGAUUGAACGCUGGCGGCAGGCUUAACACAUGCAAG
This 63-nucleotide ribosomal RNA is filed under the name Acinetobacter baumannii. Its description in RNAcentral is "partial 16S ribosomal RNA". The record is from RNAcentral. Lineage: Bacteria; Pseudomonadati; Pseudomonadota; Gammaproteobacteria; Moraxellales; Moraxellaceae.